GAAAGACUUGAUUUACGCUCUUAGGUAUUUCAUUUUAUGCACUUAAAAGCAUUAUUUUGAGAAGAGGUUCCUAGAUUUCCCCAGACUGCCAGAAGGGCCCAUAAAACACCCAAAAAAGUGUUCUUUUUUCUGUUCUAGGGGCCCCUCAGAGUAAAGGUGGGAAGUCAAGGUACUGUCGUGCAUACCUGAGUUCCCAGAAAAGCCAAACUCCAAGGAGCAGGGGAGGAAGAAAUUGGAGGUGGAGAUGGCACUGAAGAGGACAAAGAUGGGAAAAUCAGCCAGAUUGGACUUUGUGGAGGUUAGUGCUGAAAAUAAUACAAUUGUGAAGAAAUUGAGAGACAUUCAGAUAGAAGAUGUCGAAAGGAAGGAAAGAUGUCAAUGUUGUGGAAAAGAUAUCAGACCUUAUUAAAACCCCUAAAAGGGGACUGACAGUACCAAUAAAUACCCACAUUUAUGCUUC
Phascolarctos cinereus (koala) is the source of this 460-nucleotide non-coding RNA. The record is from RefSeq and is a predicted model, not a curated record. Lineage: Eukaryota; Metazoa; Chordata; Mammalia; Diprotodontia; Phascolarctidae.